UGUUAUAGAGAUCAGAUAAUUGUUUGAUAAUUUUUUGAUAUUAGGUUAUUUUGAGUUGUAAUAUAUUAAAAAAAUAACUUUUUUGGUGGGGUUUGACAGUGAGAUUUGUAACAGUUCCCUGAAAAAAUUGAAAACAGCUUUUUUCAAAAGCACGAAAGAUAUGCUUUUUCUAAAAACAGUUUUUUUAACUAAAACUGCUGUUCGGAAAAACUGUUUUCACAGUUUUUCGAGCAGCUUUUGCUAUUUGCAACAGCAGCCUGCCUAGCUCACUAACUACACUGCUCACUGGUCGUUGGCUCGUUGCUUCACAUAUUCAUCCCGCGGCAGCCGGCUGCUCUCUAGUCUCUCCCUCUCAAGAUUCAAUCGGUGCUUUACGAUCUCACUUACUUUCUGAAUUUCACGGUACGAUAUUUUGAUUGAUUCUUGGAUAAAUUUUUAGUUUUUAAAACUUUUGCAUCUUUUGUGAUUUCAUAUAUUGAAACUGUUAAUCGGGGUCCGGGUUCCUCAGGAAUUAGAGUUUGAAGGGUGCUCUCUUUUAUUUUGUAUAAUCUUUUGUGAUUUUUCUUUUAUUUUAUCUGUUUGAUAAUUCUUAUUGAUUCAUGGUGUGGUAGUCUAAUUUGGUACUCCCGAGUUAAAUCUUUAAAUUACCAGGACUCAGCUAGGAGGCAAGGUCUUAAUUAUUAAUUACUUAGUGCUUGUUUGGUUGACAUCUAGAUAUGUGGGCAGUAGAAGUUCCUAGGAAGUAGUAUUUGAUUAAACUGUUUGAUUGACAUUAAUUGGGGAAGUGUAAGUUCCCUAGAAUUUUAAAUGCCUAUAAAACAUAGGAAGUAUAAAACAUAGGAAGUUAUUGACCUAGACCCCCUUGGUAACUUGCACUUACUGUAGGAAGUUGAAACCUAUCUAUCAACCAAACACAAAUUUUAACUUCCCAUUUAUUAUAAUUUCCAUAGUAAUUUCAAAUUACAUAGGAUUUAACUUCCUAUUGGUAACCAAACAAGCACUUAGUACAUCAUCCUGAUUUCUAAGCACUGCAAUGCUGAGUUGUCGACAAUUGUGUACUGUAAUUUCUUGUGUUUCCUUUCAUGCCUAGUUCGUCGCUAUUGCCUAUUAGAAUUGUAUCAUUAUGUGCUACUAUGUCGUAAUAAUUAUCAUAAUGGCCUCUAGAAAAGAAUGGAUAUGCAGCUCUGUAAUAUUCCUAUGAGUUCGGCAUGCAGUCUGCUUGUGUUUUUUUUCUUUGUAGCUAAAGAAAUAUGCUGAGGGAGACAGAAUCUCCAGCUUGAGAUUUUAUUUUGGGAAUUUUAAUCACUUAUAGUAAUAAGUGUUUUCAGGCUUCCAAUCUAGAGCUUUUGAUUUAGGACCUCGAUUUAUGUAUUUUCUCGUUUUUCACUUAUAUAUCAGAAUGAUUUUGCACUUCGAUUUUGCAGUGUGUAUAUUAGGACUAUGAUCAAGCUUUUCUCCUUUAAAUAAAAUCACCUUUGCCACAGGCCACUCUUAAGUGAUUUGCCUCCCAACUUUUCUAGGAUCUUUUUUCCUCCUUUCUUUGAGAAUUCAUUGUUUCUUUGUAGCUAAAGAAAUACUCAUUACCUUGUCUCUGAGUUUCAAGUCUUGAACUUUGUUUUUCUCAGUCUCUCCUCCUAAAUGUUGCUACCAAAUUUCUUUUGCCUAGACUUCUUGUGGAAUUCUUGUAACAAAAAUUGCACAUUAUGAUUCCUCUUUGACCAGACCUCCGAGCAUUCUCAUUUUCCCUAAAUUUCACUAUUUACUAAUCGGGCUCAUCCAAGAUCUUUUCAUUAGUUUUCACCUUGUCCUCAUUUUGGACAUGCUUGAGAGCAUCAGCAUAAGAUCUUCUCAUAGCAAUCCUUCCAUCUUUCUUAUUCUUAUCUUCUCCUCUUUAUUGUCCAUUCUAUACUUUUCGAGGUUCGUGGGAUGAAGCAGAGUUCUAUUAGUGGAUUUGGUUCAACGCCAUUCUAACUACUUUAUAUCUCCUUCCCUUUCGAACAUCUAAAUCAGAAAGGUCUCAACAAAAUUAACUAAAGAUCACAACUAUCUCAAAUUUCUUCUCUAUUAUCUAUUCUAUUUCUCUCCAUUCCAAUCUUCAGCCCUCUCCGGUUACCUUUUCCAAAAUUUACGAUCAACCAUCAGUUCACUGAUUCUUUCAAAUUCAGAUUGGUGUUAAAGUUUGUUUCUAAAUAUCUGGUUUAUUAUAUAAACAAUGAAAAUAAUGUAGAUCUGAAAAGGAAUUUAAUACAAUUCAGCGUUGACAAAAGCUAGUAUUCCAACGUUACAUCACAUAGUUGGGAAUCACACACUAUUACUUGCAGGAAGUAAAGUUCUACUACGCACUUCGCCCCUUAGAUUAUAAAUGUAUACAGGAGUGGCACCGAUUACGAAGAAGAGAAUCAGUAGAUUCACACCAGCGCCCAGUGUCGAUUUGUCAGCUAGCAUGACACUAGUUCCUUCAACAAAAGCUACCAUCAUUGAGCAAAUCGCCAAAAAGUUUAAUGCUGCUGUGUUCCGGACUAUGCGUUUUACUUGACUCGCAUCUUUGUUAGAUGAUGUAAAGAAGUAGAGUAAUAACGAGGCAACCGACAACAUCAGGGCAAGUGCAUCAAGGAUAAUAAAAUAGGCAAAAUCAGUUUUUCUUAAAAGAACCGGUGAUCCUUUGCUCCCAUCAAAGCCCCCAGGCACGUUGAAUAGUACUGAGAAGGCCACUGUUGCAAUGAGUGCGGAUACUACCAUAUGGGUGUUGAUCGCUUUUCUGUGCUCCUCAAUUUCUAUGUUGUUAGUUAUUUCAGUAUGUUUCACAAUUCUCUUCCCACUAUCCGCAUUUGGCUCUCUGAGUGUACGCCACAACCACCAAUGCUUUCUAACAUUGGCCUUAAUGAGUGAUGUUCUAACCAAGAGCUGCAAUGAAAGAUUGUUGUAAUCAAAACUCACAGGUGUGAAUGAGAAUUAAUAAGCUAGCUGGUAUAAGUACCUGAUUGGCUAACGUAUGUGUUUCUUGUUCCAAAUGCAGUACGUCCAAGGGGGUGUAAUUGUUGGAAUCGAGUACUUCCCAAUCAACUUCCCACUCUGCUGGUCUUCUAUCUAUGAACAUUGAACGUAACCAUCUCAUCACAAUCCGCGAGGGACGUACUUUCAUCCCUCUUGUUCCCAUCAGCCUAUAAACAAAAAUUCCCAGCUUGGUAGGUGGAGUGGUGUAUUGCCGCUAUUGUCCCUUUUAGUUAAAAGGUUAUUGCUUGCUUGAAAACCACGGGACAAGAUAUAAUCAAUAACACCCUUUCGAUCUUCCUCCACCGCGAUAUGCAAUAUAUUUCGACCACUUCCAUCUGUAAUCUCCCAACAAUCUGGAAAAUGUUUGACAAAUGUCUUCAUGACAUCCACAUUUCCAGUGUAUGCUGCUAUGUGUAAAGGUGUUCUUCCAUACAUCUUGUCUUUAUGGUACGCCACAUAUUUGUCUUCAUCAGCAACUAGAAGUCCAAUUAUUAGUUCCACUAUUGUAUGAAGAUCGUUAUGUGCCGCAUAAUGAAAUACCGUCCAACCAUAAUCAUCUACUUCCUUUAAUAGACCUAUAUUCCAAUCCAAAAGACGUUGCACGCAUUCUGACAUAAGAACAAAAACACAAAACAAGAGUGAUCACUAGAAUAGAUCAGACAUCUGCAUGUAUACACAUUUAUAUAUACAUGAGCUCAAAUGACAAUUAUGUACGAACUUAGCACAAUACAGUACAUAGUAUUAUGCCAAAAAUUUAUUAAUUAUACAUCUGAAAGCUUAUGAACUCACAAAUAAGUAUACCUAUAUAUGUAAGUAACUGAUGUCUUGCUAAUAAGAAUGAAGUGCAAAUUUUUGUCAAUCUUCUUUGUGCUUAGGAGUCUUUAAUUCCCAUUAGAAAUUUUAAGGUUUUUUAUAGUUUGUAUGUACUUCUGAACAGGUAAACUCAAGAAUUUUACUCGAUGAUAACUUUAAGUUUUUCACAAUAAUCUAUGAAAUCACGUGUAGCCAUUUUCAUAUGUUUCUCUUUUCUUUGCUUAUUAGCCAUUUUCAUAUGUAUGUGUUUGUGAAUUUUAGCGAUUUUUCCUCUAACCAUAGAUCCUCCUUUUCCUUUCUUUUAUUAGGUGAUUUAUAUGAUUGGUGAGGUUGGUGAGUGCGUCCCCUACAUCUACAAAUGAUGUUUAUAGUUGGCUAAAAACAAUACUAAAAGAAGAAAUAAAAGUAUUUUCUAUUAAAAAAAUCAAUGCGAUUAAGUAGAAUGGUAAGGGUUUUUGGGACCAGUAAUGGAUCCCGAGAUAGGCCUUGACGGGGUCUAAGUGGGGCCUAGUAGGGUUAAGGUGGGGUCGGGUGGGACCAUGGUGGAGCCAAGUUUUGGCUCUUAAGGAUGUCUGGAGCCUGUCCAGGGCCUGUGCGGAGCCUUGACGAGGCUCUAGCGGGUCCGAGAUGGGUUGAGCGGGGGCGAGAGUGGGCCCUAGGUGGGUAUGACACAUAGGGGGUGGGUGAUGACAUAUAGGGGGUGGGUGAUAUCAUUUAGGUGUAGUUUUUCUUGGUUUGUAUUUUAGUUUUUAUUUUAGUGUUUGUAUUUGAACAAUUGCCUAUAUAUAUAGAGGGGUUUAAAAUUUUUGGAGCUCUUAUAUAUGUGAGCCCUGAGCGACGGCUUAUUUUAUUUUACAGUUGAGUUGGUGCUCGACUUUUAACGUUAACGGCAUGGAUUUAUGCAUAAUUAACGGAAAGGGUGUAAACUGAUUUGAAAAACUGAAGUAAUGGGGGUGCGAUUUGAAUUAUUCAUAAUUAUGAUAUAAAAUUGUUUUGAACGAAAAUUAUGUAGUGCGAUAUUCACUUUAAUUCCAUUUGAUUGAAAUGUUAGCGUGGAAAAUACGGAGAGAUGUAUGAUAUGUGCAAACUUACCAUGUCCCCCGUGAUUCCUAUAAUCCAAUACUACAGCAUGCAAAGCUGUUCUUCCUUCCGGACCACCACAUAUGGCAUGCAAAUCUGUCCCCCCACCGGCACUACCACUUAUAAUGUUUGGCCAAUUACAAUUGACGAGAAUGGUAGUAAUUAUAUCAGUAUAGUACCUAAUAGAAGCCAAGUAUAGUGGAGUUUCCUUGUACUUAUUCUGAGGAUGUGGAUAGCUUGGAUCUGUUACUACCAGAAGUUCCA
This 5151-nucleotide long non-coding RNA is filed under the name Daucus carota (carrot). RNAcentral's name for it is "long non-coding RNA (DCAR_LNC006143)". The record is from RNAcentral. Lineage: Eukaryota; Viridiplantae; Streptophyta; Magnoliopsida; Apiales; Apiaceae.